Molecule: ribosomal RNA, 863 nt
Filed under: Aquimarina sp. CBMAI 1205
Lineage: Bacteria; Pseudomonadati; Bacteroidota; Flavobacteriia; Flavobacteriales; Flavobacteriaceae
Description: bacterial SSU rRNA
Rfam family: Bacterial small subunit ribosomal RNA
Source: RNAcentral
UAUUGGGGGAUAGCCCAGAGAAAUUUGGAUUAAUACCCCAUGGUAUGCUAGAGUGGCAUCACUUUAGUAUUAAAGAUUUAUCGAUAUAAGAUGGCUAUGCGUUCUAUUAGCUAGUUGGUAAGGUAACGGCUCACCAAGGCGACGAUAGAUAGGGGUCCUGAGAGGGAGAUCCCCCACACUGGUACUGAGACACGGACCAGACUCCUACGGGAGGCAGCAGUGAGGAAUAUUGGACAAUGGAGGCAACUCUGAUCCAGCCAUGCCGCGUGCAGGAAGACUGCCCUAUGGGUUGUAAACUGCUUUUAUAGAGGAAGAAACCGCUCUACGUGUAGAGCUCUGACGGUACUCUACGAAUAAGGAUCGGCUAACUCCGUGCCAGCAGCCGCGGUAAUACGGAGGAUCCAAGCGUUAUCCGGAAUCAUUGGGUUUAAAGGGUCCGUAGGCGGGCUUAUAAGUCAGUGGUGAAAGUUUGCGGCUCAACCGUAAAAUUGCCAUUGAUACUGUAGGUCUUGAAUCAUUGUGAAGUGGUUAGAAUGUGUAGUGUAGCGGUGAAAUGCAUAGAUAUUACACAGAAUACCGAUUGCGAAGGCAGAUCACUAACAAUUGAUUGACGCUCAGGGACGAAAGCGUGGGUAGCGAACAGGAUUAGAUACCCUGGUAGUCCACGCCGUAAACGAUGGUUACUAGCUGUUUGGACUUCGGUCUGAGUGGCUAAGCGAAAGUGAUAAGUAACCCACCUGGGGAGUACGUUCGCAAGAAUGAAACUCAAAGGAAUUGACGGGGGCCCGCACAAGCGGUGGAGCAUGUGGUUUAAUUCGAUGAUACGCGAGGAACCUUACCAGGGCUUAAAUGUAGUCUGACAG